Molecule: RNA transcript, 6043 nt
Organism: Oncorhynchus gorbuscha (pink salmon)
Lineage: Eukaryota; Metazoa; Chordata; Actinopteri; Salmoniformes; Salmonidae
Gene name: aryl hydrocarbon receptor-like
Exons: 11
Source: RefSeq, a predicted model, not a curated record
UAUAGGCCAAUUUUACCUGCUGUAAAAGAGCAGCUCCGAAGCUCUUCAAAGGGUUGGGCAACGGCAAAAUCUACCCCUUUAGAAUAAGUGUUUUAUUGUUUGUUUGGGGGUCUGGAGAGACUGGACUUCUCACGGAAAAAGAACUGGAUCACGCACAUAUUAGGCUAUUCAUUCAGGGGAAUUUUCCUAAAGUUGCUUAAUCCCCCAAAAACUUCUGGAUUUUCACCGCGCGUCUAACACGGUCGACUUUGACCGCCUGGGUCUGUCUACGUCGCGUUGCGGGAGAUCUGCGUUACAAAGAGACCUCUCUAUUUGUACAUGUUUUUUUUUUCACUUAUUUAACUAGGCAAGUCAGUUAAGAACAAGUUAUCUUUGAAUGGAUUCACUUAUGUCUGGAUAUUAAUUUCCCUGGUUAUUUGAGAACUGUCUGUGAGGAAGACAGUGAAUUUUAUUUUGUUGGUGUUUUUGAAAAAUUUAUAGCCGAUUUACAGCAGACGCGUCACCAUGUUGAGUAACGCUGGAGUCUAUGCUGUCAAAAAGCGGAAGAAGCCCGUUCAGAAAACCAAGAAAACCCCUGCUCCAGAAGUGGUCAAGUCGAACCCUUCCAAACGCCACCGGGAUCGGCUGAACGGGGAGCUGGACAGGCUGACGGGCCUUCUACCAUUCCCUGAGGAUGUGUGCUCUCGCCUGGACAAGCUCUCCGUGCUCCGCCUCAGCGUUGGGUACCUGAAGGUCAAGAGCUUCUUCAAAGCGACCAUGAAGAAAAGCAAUGCCCUGUUUCCCAGUGGGAAUGGGCUGAACAUUAAUGGGAUGGAAGCCACAACCUUCUCCAAGGGGGACCUACUACUCCAGGCUCUGAAUGGCUUUGUGCUGGUGGUCACAGCUGAAGGACAUGUGUUCUAUGCCUCUCCUACUAUCCAAGACUACCUGGGCUUCCAUCAGUCAGACGUGGUUCACCAGAGUGUGUUUGAGCUGAUCCACACAGACGACAGAGCCACGUUCAGACGACAGCUUCACUUUGCCCUCAACCCCAAGCCCUUUGACCCAGAGCAGGGAGGAGACGGCAUGGCAAGCAGCAGUGACAUCACCAGGAACAUUGUGAACUAUAACCCUGAGCAGCUCCCCCCAGAGAACUCCUCCUUCCUGGAGAGGAACUUUGUGUGUCGCUUCCGCUGCCUCCUGGACAACUCCUCUGGCUUCCUGGCUCUGAACUUCCAGGGGCGUCUCAAGUUCCUCCAUGCCCAGAGCAUGCUGGGGGAUGACGGGACACGCAGCCAGCCCAACCUGGGCCUGUUCACCAUCGCCACCCCUGUCCAAAACCCGUCCAUUUUGGAGAUCAGAACUAAGACAAUCUUCUUCCAGACCAAACACAAGCUCGACUUCACCCCCAUGGGUGUUGAUGCCAGGGGGAAGGUUGUCCUGGGCUACUCAGAGAUAGAGUUGUGUAUGAGAGGCUCUGGUUAUCAGUUCAUCCAUGCAGCUGAUAUGAUGUACUGCGCAGACAACCAUGUCAGAAUGAUUAAGACAGGAGAGAGUGGUCUGACCACGUUCAGACUGCUUCAGAAGACUGGGUGCUGGGUCUGGGUCCAGGCCAAUGCCAGGCUCGUCUACAAAGGAGGAAGACCUGACUUCAUCAUCGCACGCCAGAGAGCUUUGCUUAAUUCCGAGGGAGAGGAGCAUUUACACCAGAGGAAGAUGCAGCUGCCCUUCAGCUUCACCACCGGGGAGGCCCUGCUGUACGAGACCGGCCCCACUCUGGAUGCCACUGAGUUCCAAACCAACUCCCCAAAAAUCCGCAAGGUGGAGUCUCUGGACCCCCAGUCUCUGCUGGGCUCCUUACUGAAGCAAGAUGAGUCCGUCUACACCCAGCCCCAGGAGCCUCAGCUACCCAUAGACCAGGCAUUCAUGGACAGCCGAGCGCUCACCAAUGUGGCCUGUAACUCCUGGCAGAGUAGCAUGGAGCCCCAGGGGCCCGACGGGGAUGAUGAUGGUGACUGCCCCAGUGAGGUGAAGCAGAAGGGGGCGGUGGUGGCCAUGAUAGACGCCCUGGAGAAGAUGGCACGAGAUGGGGACCUGUGUGAGGCGCUGCAGGGGCUGGACGUGGACACGGCCGAGCUGAUGGAGUGGGAGAGUGCCCUCCUCAGGCUGAGCCAGGGAUCCAACGGGACUGGGGGUGGGGAUACCUCCCCGGAGCUGGAUGACAUCAUGACCAAUGACAUCUUCUCUUACGUGGAGGAAGCCUUGUUCAAGGAGAGCAGCGAGGGGAGCGGUAACCAGCCCAACUGCUCCAUUAUGGUCAACAACAACCCUAACCUAAACCUGUUCACAGAGGUGUUUAACAACAACAACCAGGAUGGACCAUUCACAGGAAUGGUCAGCCCUACAGGUGUAGGACAGUGCAAGCCCGGGUUGCUUGACAGCCGCAGCUUUAUCCAUAAUGGCUCCCCAGUGAACAGUCUAAAUGGUCAGGUAACAGGCAAUGGACCAGAUGGUUUGGCAGGACAGAACCAGGCAGGACCACACCAGGUGUUCAACAGCACCCAGAGGCUCUCCCACUUUGGCCCCCAGAUCCCUCAGAUGGACCUGAACAUCCCCACCCUGCAGCAGCUACAGCUCAAUGACAUCUUCGCCCCCUCUCUGGAGCUCCCCGAGCUCAGUAUCCCACACAGCUCAGGCCAGAACGGGGCUGUUACGUUUUGCACCAACAUGGCUGGAUCCUGUGCUCAGGCACCAAACAACCACAUGGGAAGCCCUCAGGGUAUCACUGGCAAGGUCCACUCUAACCAGCCACCUCCACAGUUUUUCACUCAUAAUGGCUUGCCAGCUACAAUGGCACCAAACGGACCACAACAGAUCUCUGUUCCGCAGUCCAACCAUGUAGCACCUAGUCUGGUGGAUGGCUGGGCAUCCAUGAUUCCCAGUAAUACCUUUGUUUCACCCCAGAUUGAAUCUAGCAAUCUCAAUCUAUCUAAUCCCCUUCCGACUGCUUGCCUUCAGGGAAACAGUGCACCAUUUCAGUCACUCAAAAUCCAGAGAGUUCAGCAGUGGCCCCAGAACCAGCAGCAGCUGCCACCCCCAACCAGCACAAUACAGAAUGGAAUAAUGGCAAAUGGACACACAUUCAUCCCUGACUGUCACAGUCAAGACACAGAGACGCAAAGAGUCCCUCACAGGCCUUUGGCCACAGAACCCCAACAGACUGUACCACCAAACACAGCAUGGGGGAUCGGCCAAUGGCCAGCCUGCUCCAUCCAGUAGCUGCAUGUUUGAGAACAUCUCACCCCCCUUACCUAAUGGAAACAGCCACAUGGAUGGCACCAGGCUGGCCCCCACGUUGUCUGUAUGCCAGAGUAGGAUUGUGGACCCCCAGGACCAGAGUCCUCCACAGGGCUCUUGCUACUUUCAGUGGGGCCCCAGUGAUCCGGUGGUGGGCACGUCAGCCGUCAUCCAGGAUAGUGCCAGCACCAGCCCCCCCGUCUCGCCCGCUGGUGGCCAACAUAACCACCCCUGAGGGCCUACUGGCCAUGCAGCAGUACCUGGCUGGAUGCAGCGGAGUCGGACAGACACAGAUUCCAAGCCUCCCUGUCAUAGACAGCAAUGGAAUAUUCUCUUUACCACCCCUUGUAAAUGGAUCCAUGUGCUUUACAGAGCACAACCAAAUCAACUAUUGCAACUUCUAAACAUGCGUCACAUUGCCUUACGAGGUACAAGUGGCGGACAGAGAGAGGAGGAAGCCAUCCAUGAAUCUAUUCAUCCUUCCAUGAAUCUAUUCAUCCUUCCGUGAAUCUAUUCAUCCUUCCAUGAAUCUAUUCAUCCUUCCAUCUGUACGCUUUCAUAGACAACCCUCUGCCUUAAGAGAUGUCUCAGUGAGGGUGUUGUGAAGACAAGCCAUCCGCUCAUCAUGUGUGGUCAAACACAUCAUCCCAUCUCCCCAUAUCAGUGUUUGCAGUAAAUACAAGGACUCCUUUAAUUACCCCUUGUCACUUCUGUCAGCAAUGGAACAAAAAGCGCAACUUCAAAUUGAACUGGUUUUCUUUGUGUUUUUGCAUUGUCUUUUGUUUUGCCGAUGCCGUGCCUUUGUUUUUAUUACCGUGUAACAACAAUUUCUGUCACAACUUGUUUGUUUAAUUGCCUUCAAUGAUAUGAAUGAAGUAUGAAUCCUCACUAGUGCAUUUGGCUGCCGUUAUAAUGGCUGGCGCUACAUGGCUUUUUAAGGUCAUGACCAACUCCCAAAGUGAGAUUCUCAUGAAGCAAGCCGUAUUCAUUUUUUUUCUCCAAACGUUUGUUUCCUGUGCACUUACAUUAUAGUCGGAUGGUGAUAGGACACCAUUCAAGUUUUCACUCAUGGGAAAACAAAACAAAAUACUAAUGUUGAACACAAAAAUAAAGUCACAAACAUUUUUGUAUGGAGUGUAAAUACAGAAAUUGAAUCUAUAUUCUUAUAUAAAGACAUUAUGUAAAACGAUGUGAGUGCACUUGUGUUUAUGACUGUGAUGACUAUGACUAUGUUUACAGCGUGUGUGUGCAAAGGCGUUCGUGUGUGUUUGUGUUCUCUUGUUCUGGAGAGUGAAUGAAGCAGUGUACAAAUGUCCCGUGGAACUCAGUUGGUAGAGCAUGGCACUUGCAACGCCAGGGUUGUGGGUUUGAUUCCCAAGGGGGACCAGUAUGAAAAUGUAUGGACUCAAUACUGUAAGUCGCUCUGGACAAGAGAAUCUGCUAAAUUGCUCAAAUGUAAAUGUACUAAUAGACUUUCUGAGGAAAAGAUGAUGUAUUUCAUUGAAAUGUCUGCAUUGGUUGCAGAGUAGGCAGUAUGACUAACCAUGCAAGGCAUGUGCUUUCAGAUGAUACCCCUUGUAAUGCUAUUGGUAUCCAAAUGUCAUUACAGUUUGACAAUACUCUGAUGCAGUAUGUCGAUAAUGUUAUAUCAAUAGUAGUAAACCCUUUGUUUGUUUUUCUUGGCUUUUGUUUCAUUUUGGUAUUAUCUAAACUUCACUAAGCCAUACGCUAACUUCUUAUGGUCAUAAUACAAACUGUGGAGGAAUGCGGGCCCUAAUGCUGCAUCUAUAAGAGACGCAGAAGUCCUAUAAGGGCUAGUAUAGUAACCAGAGUUACUACAGAAAUUGGACUAGAAGUCGAACUUCCCACGAGGCUGCCAUGAUGACUCCGCAUAUUCAACAAAUGGAACUCCAUGUCAGUCAAUAGUUGACAGAAAGAUGGCAGAUCCUCCCAAUUUAAAUGUCCCCUGACACUCAAGGCUCCCGUCAUCACUCAUCUCUUGUCUCCCUCAGAGGGCUCUGAGACUAAAUCAAUAUGGCCACCCACCUUUCAAUUCCUUUGACCUACUUCCUCAUUCUGCUCAUAUGACAGGGCAAGAUAGAUGAGAGGAAUAUGGAGGAAACUAAACCUGGCCAACUAGAGGGCCUCUCCUGCCAAACUGCUCUCACCAUUUCAGCUCGCUCAGCUCAGUAAGGCAGAGGAAAGUACAUAUAGUAAAGGGAGCUAUUCUAUGUAUUGGGUAUAUUCACAUUUAGCUUUGGCUUUUAAAAUUGUAUUUAGUAAUUGCUCUUGUUGCUUUAACCAGCUGAUAUACAAGCUUUCAAAGUGCCUGCCUUGAAAUGUUGAUAAAGUUUCUCGUAUCAAAGCUUAUAUAAAAGAAAGGGAAGGGCAUGCUAUACAGUAUACUGUAUAUUAGCCCUGAGCCAUGUAGCUAUUCUUUAAGCGCACUCUUCAACAGUCUUCAACAUCAGGUAGUUGCAGAGUUCAGCAUCAAUAUAUUAUGAAUAUUUACAUUUUUGCAUUUGUUGGUUGUAUGUUUGUUUAUUUGUAUGUUUUGUUAUUAUGUCUAGUGGCCUUACAACAUCAGUUAGACAGGUAUUCUCUUUGUAAGCCUUUAUUUCCACAGAAAUAUAUAAUUUAGUGUAGUUCACUUGUAUUUAACCAAGUAUAGUGUAUGCAAUGUAUUGAUAAUUACCAACUUACUUGUUACCAUUUGUUUCUUAAUUGUACAAUUCAAUUUCAUAUUAAAAAUACUCCUAAUAACUUA